This 254-nucleotide ribosomal RNA is filed under the name uncultured Singulisphaera sp. RNAcentral describes it as "partial 16S ribosomal RNA". It matches the Rfam family "Bacterial small subunit ribosomal RNA", at positions 524 to 776 of the family's 1533-position model. The record is from RNAcentral. Lineage: Bacteria; Pseudomonadati; Planctomycetota; Planctomycetia; Isosphaerales; Isosphaeraceae.
GACGAACCGUGCGAACGUUAUUCGGAAUCACUGGGCUUAAAGCGCGUGUAGGCGGGCCGGCACGUUCGCCGCUGAAAUCCCCCGGCUCAACCGGGGAAGGGGCGCGAAUACGGCCGGCCUGGAGGGGGGUAGGGGGCGCCGGAACUCACGGUGGAGCGGUGAAAUGCGUUGAGAUCGUGAGGAACGCCCGUGGCGAAAGCGGGCGCCUGGACCCCACCUGACGCUGAGACGCGAAAGCCAGGGGAGCGAACGGG